CCCCCCCCAAAAUCGAUUUCCCCCCAAAAGCCCCAAAACCCCCAAAACCCAAAUCGAUUUCACCCACUCCCAUCUCCGGCGAUUUCACCCACUCCCAACUAUCGAUUUCUGACGAGCAACCUAGAGACGACCAGCGGCUUCCGACCGGUGAGCGACGACCCAAAUCGAUUUCACCCACUCCCAUCUCCGGCGAUUUCACCCACUCCCAACUAUCGAUUUCCGACGAUCGAUCACUUCCAGGUAAGUUGAAGUAAUUAAUUUUUCUCUCCAUCUACACUUUCUUAUUAAUGUCGUGGAUCGUUAAGGAGCUCAGUUGAGUUUCUUCAUAACGAUCCGACGAUAGUCCGUCGAUCUCUUUGUAUAGUC
Molecule: long non-coding RNA, 366 nt
Filed under: Zostera marina
Lineage: Eukaryota; Viridiplantae; Streptophyta; Magnoliopsida; Alismatales; Zosteraceae
Description: long non-coding RNA (ZMAR_LNC001237)
Source: RNAcentral